Molecule: long non-coding RNA, 235 nt
Filed under: Brassica napus (rape)
Lineage: Eukaryota; Viridiplantae; Streptophyta; Magnoliopsida; Brassicales; Brassicaceae
Description: long non-coding RNA (BNAP_LNC014624)
Source: RNAcentral
CUGUGAGGAGAUUUCAAGGAAGUAGGUAUACGGAGAAAAGCAGCAGCCAAUCCACUUUUUAUUGCUAGUAAUUUAACAUUCCUAGUCAACGUUCUGUGUUCAAUGUAUACAAAGAUUCUUGUAGUUUCUUCCUCUAAAUCUCUUCAAAGCUUUGAAAUACUGAUCAUCUUUCCAUCAUACUAAUUAAUGGAUUCUGCAUUUUUUCUUAACCGUUCUGAGAAAACUUCGGUUCCAU